CCCUGGAACCACCUCAGGUGCCCCUGCAGGGGAGAAAUCCAGGCCGGAGUAGAGCAGGGGGGCGGGGCCGGGCUGGGAGUUCGAUGGACGGGGACACUGGGAGAGCAGGGCCAUGAACAGGUUUUGGGGCUCCCUCGUGGGUCACAGCCAAUAGAACGGCUCUGCUGGAAUGACAUCAUUG
Long non-coding RNA from Chiroxiphia lanceolata (lance-tailed manakin), 181 nucleotides. RefSeq lists it as uncharacterized. NCBI's taxonomy places the organism in Eukaryota, Metazoa, Chordata, Aves, Passeriformes, Pipridae. The transcript is spliced from 3 exons. The record is from RefSeq and is a predicted model, not a curated record.